ACGAAGGACUAAACAUAUAGCAGGAGUGACCUAGAAAAGGCUAGAGUUAAACUGUUGGGACCCGAAAGAUGUUGAACUAUGCUUGUGGUGUUUAAAGCCAAAGGAAACUUUGGUGGAAGGACUUGGGAGUGUUAACGUGCAAAUUACUUGCAAUAUAUGAGUAUAGGGGCGAAAGACUAAUCGAACUAUCUAGUAGCUGGUUCCACCUGAAUAUUCCCUUAGGAAGGUUGAAGUGAGAAAGUAGUGACGAUUGGUAAAGAUAAUGAUUGCACACGAUGGACAGUUUGAUUUUUCAACAAUUUAACAAACUAUGAAUAGUCGAGAGAUUCAAAAAUAUACUAAUUUAUUAGGAGUGAGCAUAUGGGACUUCAAAUCGGCCAAGUCUGGUAAGCAAAACUGGCGAUGCGGGUUAAACCGAACAUACAGAUAAAGUAUCCAAGGCUUACAUGAGGAGAACUAUAAAAGGGUUCAUUCACAUUGAAUCCAGGUUGAUGGCCAUGGAAGUUGGAAAUCGCUAAGGAGUGUGUAACAACUCACUUAUCGAAUGGAUAAGCCCUGAAAAUGGAAGGUAUUAUAAUGAGAGAGAGAGAGUGAUGCUGUAUCCUUGUGGAGGCUGAGGCACACGAGGAGUAAGGAAAUGCAUGGUGUCAAGAAUAAGUGAGUGAUAAAGGUAGAGAAGUAAUUUCCAUUGAAACAGACUUGAGUACAGAUCUUGGUGGAAGUAGCAAAUACUUAGAAGAGGAAAAAAUAUCUAAGGACUGAAGAGGAGAAAGGUUCCUAGACAACAUUAAUUGGAAUAGGGUGAAUCAAUUCUCAAAGACAAACGGGGAAAUGCAAGAAUGAACUCAUACACAAAACUUACAAAACAACCAUACCCAAUGAAUAUAUAAACUUGUA
RNAcentral lists this non-coding RNA (897 nucleotides) under Entamoeba invadens IP1. Its description in RNAcentral is "Eukaryotic large subunit ribosomal RNA". It matches the Rfam family "Eukaryotic large subunit ribosomal RNA", at positions 745 to 1598 of the family's 3401-position model. Lineage: Eukaryota; Evosea; Mastigamoebida; Endamoebidae. The record is from Rfam by way of RNAcentral.